Molecule: long non-coding RNA, 624 nt
Organism: Rosa chinensis
Lineage: Eukaryota; Viridiplantae; Streptophyta; Magnoliopsida; Rosales; Rosaceae
Exons: 5
Source: RefSeq, a predicted model, not a curated record
CUUUUGCCGCAAUACUACUCCACGACUCUAGUCUCCUCUGUUUGUGGGUGUAGGGUGCAGCAGACUGGCCUUCGUCUCUCUUCAGGUUCUCGCUUCUCCCAACACAAAGUUGCAGACCCAUUAUUCAUCGCAAACCAAUCUCUCUUCCUCUCGCUUUGAAGCUUCUUCUUCUCUGCUUCACGUUUGUUCUCUUCCCGAAGAUUCUCCGAUUCGUUUUCCAUUUCUGUCUUCAGUGUCUAGAAGUUUAUGGUUUUCUGAAUUUGAUGAUCUGCUGGAGUAACGUGAUAACAGAGCACAGCCAAACCAUUUUGAACUCUUUGCACUCAUUUUUACUGGGACUUGACUAGAGAUUGGGAGUUGAGGAGCAUGAAGAUUAAUUAUGUAGUCAGCUCCUAUCUUGAUCCCCUUACCGUUAAGGUAUACUGAUUGGGGACAUGUUCAAGGACAGUCACCAUAUGCCUCUGGUUCUCCAUCAAAAGCCGUCUGCAUUUCUGAUAUUAAUUAGUUGAAGAUAUUAUUUCUAGUUGAAGACUUAGGAAGCAUAUUAUGAAAGUGCUUCAUUUGUUCAUGUUGGUUGGAUUUGAAAAAACAAUUGAUGUUAGGGCUCUGUUUAUUACUAUAUUA